AGAGGCAGGAUCAGACAGGCAAUCAUCAACAACAUACUCUGAAUUUAAGAAUGACCACCACACAGUAAAAGAACUGGAGUUUGGAGGAAAACUUCAGCUCUGUGAAGUGUGGUUGGCUGAAACAAACUUCGACUAGUGAGAGAAACUCUCCCUGCUGAUGCUAUGCUGAAGAGAAAGUACAGUUGCUUCUUCCUGCCUGCCUUCCAGUCCUCUAUGCCCUCUGUUGACAAAAAUUAACUGGAAGCCAGAUGGCAAAGGUGUCUGGGGAAUGUAGUUUGCAGAGUUCAGUCACAGCACCAUAGAUCACAAAAGAGCUUUCCAAGUGAUCUCUCCAGUAUGGCAACAACUAGAAGCCGUAUGUUUUAUAUAACCUAAUUUCAUAUGCCCUGCAUACAAGCAUAGAUUCUACCUCUUAAUGGACAAGUGUCAACAUCAUGUUUUAGUAGGUCCCAUGGUUUCAGUAUCCCCUCCAAAACUCAUGUUGAGACUUAAUUGUCCACGAGGCAUUAUUGAGAAGUGUGACCUUUAAGAGAUGUUUAAAUUGUGUGGGCUUUACCCUCAUGAAUAGAUCAAUCCAUUCAUGGAUUAAUGAUUAACAGGUCUGUAAAUUAACAGGUUAUCAUGAGAGAGGAACUGGUGGCUUUAUAAGAAAAGAAAGAGAGACCUGAGUUAGCAUGUUAACACUCUCAGCCCCCUUGCCAUGUGAUGACAUGUGCCGCCUUAGAUGCUGCAGACAAUUUUUACCAAAAAAGGCUCUCUCUAGAUGUGCUCAACUUUGGAAUUCCUAGCCUCCUUAACUGUAAGAAAUACAUUCCUUUUCUUAUAAAUU
Pongo pygmaeus (Bornean orangutan) is the source of this 829-nucleotide long non-coding RNA. RefSeq lists it as uncharacterized. Lineage: Eukaryota; Metazoa; Chordata; Mammalia; Primates; Hominidae. The transcript has 3 exons. The record is from RefSeq and is a predicted model, not a curated record.